This 386-nucleotide ribosomal RNA is filed under the name uncultured bacterium. RNAcentral describes it as "bacterial SSU rRNA". It matches the Rfam family "Bacterial small subunit ribosomal RNA", at positions 29 to 416 of the family's 1533-position model. The record is from RNAcentral.
AUUAAACGCUGGCGGCAUGCCUUACACAUGCAAGUCGAACGGCAGCACGGGGGCAACCCUGGUGGCGAGUGGCGAACGGGUGAGUAAAGCAUCGGAACGUGCCCUGGAGUGGGGGAUAACGUAGCGAAAGUUACGCUAAUACCGCAUAUUCUGUGAGCAGGAAAGCAGGGGAUCGCAAGACCUUGCGCUCUGGGAGCGGCCGAUGUCGGAUUAGCUAGUUGGUGGGGUAAAAGCCUACCAAGGCGACGAUCCGUAGCGGGUCUGAGAGGAUGAUCCGCCACACUGGGACUGAGACACGGCCCAGACUCCUACGGGAGGCAGCAGUGGGGAAUUUUGGACAAUGGGCGAAAGCCUGAUCCAGCCAUGCCGCGUGAGUGAAGAAGGCC